Molecule: signal recognition particle RNA, 100 nt
Filed under: Propionispora sp. 2/2-37
Lineage: Bacteria; Bacillati; Bacillota; Negativicutes; Selenomonadales; Sporomusaceae
Description: Bacterial small signal recognition particle RNA
Rfam family: Bacterial small signal recognition particle RNA
About the family: The signal recognition particle (SRP) is a universally conserved ribonucleoprotein involved in the co-translational targeting of proteins to membranes. Archaeal SRP consists of a 7S RNA and homologues of the eukaryotic SRP19 and SRP54 proteins. In most bacteria, the SRP consists of a 4.5S RNA and the Ffh protein (a homologue of the eukaryotic SRP54 protein).
Source: Rfam by way of RNAcentral
UGUUGGGUCUUGCGCAAUAGGAACUCAUGAACUCCGCCAGGUCCGGAAGGGAGCAACGGUAAGUGAUCAUUUCUAUGUGCCGCAAGGGUGCCUGAUUAUU